Molecule: ribosomal RNA, 253 nt
Filed under: uncultured bacterium
Lineage: Bacteria
Description: partial 16S ribosomal RNA
Rfam family: Bacterial small subunit ribosomal RNA
Source: RNAcentral
UACAGAGGGUGCAAGCGUUGUUCGGAAUUAUUGGGCGUAAAGCGCGUGUAGGCGGCUUUGCAAGUCGGGUGUGAAAGCCCUCGGCUCAACCGAGGAAGUGCGCCCGAAACUGCAGAGCUUGAGUACCGGAGAGGAUGGCGGAAUUCCCCAAGUAGAGGUGAAAUUCGUAGAUAUGGGGAGGAACACCGGUGGCGAAGGCGGCCAUCUGGACGGAUACUGACGCUGAGACGCGAAAGCAUGGGUAGCAAACAGG